This 253-nucleotide ribosomal RNA is filed under the name uncultured prokaryote. RNAcentral describes it as "partial 16S ribosomal RNA". It matches the Rfam family "Bacterial small subunit ribosomal RNA", at positions 524 to 776 of the family's 1533-position model. The record is from RNAcentral.
UACGUAGGGGUCGAGCGUUGUCCGGAGUUACUGGGCGUAAAGCGUGCGCAGGUGGCUCAUCGCGCUCGGCGUGAAAGCCCCCGGCUCAACCGGGGAGGGUCGUCGAGGACGGGUGAGCUUGAGGGUAUCAGGGGCUGGUGGAACUCCCGGUGUAGUGGUGAAAUGCGUAGAGAUCGGGAAGAACACCCGUGGCGAAGGCGGCCAGCUGGGAUACACCUGACACUGAGGCACGAAGGCGUGGGGAGCGAACGGG